GGUUAAGCGACUAAGCGUACACGGUGGAUGCCCUGGCAGUCAGAGGCGAUGAAGGACGUGCUAAUCUGCGAUAAGCGCCGGUAAGGUGAUAUGAACCGUUAUAACCGGCGAUUUCCGAAUGGGGAAACCCAGUGUGAUUCGUCACACUAUCAUUAACUGAAUCCAUAGGUUAAUGAGGCGAACCGGGGGAACUGAAACAUCUAAGUACCCCGAGGAAAAGAAAUCAACCGAGAUUCCCCCAGUAGCGGCGAGCGAACGGGGAGGAGCCCAGAGCCUGAAUCAGCAUGUGUGUUAGUGGAAGCGUCUGGAAAGGCGCGCGAUACAGGGUGACAGCCCCGUACACAAAAGCGCAUGUGCUGUGAGCUCGAUGAGUAGGGCGGGACACGUGGUAUCCUGUCUGAAUAUGGGGGGACCAUCCUCCAAGGCUAAAUACUCCUGACUGACCGAUAGUGAACCAGUACCGUGAGGGAAAGGCGAAAAGAACCCCGGCGAGGGGAGUGAAAAAGAACCUGAAACCGUGUACGUACAAGCAGUGGGAGCACCCUUCGGGGUGUGACUGCGUACCUUUUGUAUAAUGGGUCAGCGACUUAUAUUCUGUAGCAAGGUUAACCGUAUAGGGGAGCCGGAGGGAAACCGAGUCUUAACCGGGCGUUAAGUUGCAGGGUAUAGACCCGAAACCCGGUGAUCUAGCCAUGGGCAGGUUGAAGGUUGGGUAACACUAACUGGAGGACCGAACCGACUAAUGUUGAAAAAUUAGCGGAUGACCUGUGGCUGGGGGUGAAAGGCCAAUCAAACCGGGAGAUAGCUGGUUCUCCCCGAAAGCUAUUUAGGUAGCGCCUCGUGAAUUCAUCUCCGGGGGUAGAGCACUGUUUCGGCUAGGGGGCCAUCCCGGCUUACCAACCCGAUGCAAACUGCGAAUACCGGAGAAUGUUAUCACGGGAGACACACGGCGGGUGCUAACGUCCGUCGUGAAGAGGGAAACAACCCAGACCGCCAGCUAAGGUCCCAAAGUCAUGGUUAAGUGGGAAACGAUGUGGGAAGGCCCAGACAGCCAGGAUGUUGGCUUAGAAGCAGCCAUCAUUUAAAGAAAGCGUAAUAGCUCACUGGUCGAGUCGGCCUGCGCGGAAGAUGUAACGGGGCUAAACCAUGCACCGAAGCUGCGGCAGCGAACGUAUCACCCAAGACAACUUUACGGAGUUGACGAUUGACGGAGCGAAGCGACGUCAAAGCGUUCAUUAAAGUCGAGUUGGCUUAGGGAUACGUUCGUUGGGUAGGGGAGCGUUCUGUAAGCCUGUGAAGGUGUGUCGUGAGGCAUGCUGGAGGUAUCAGAAGUGCGAAUGCUGACAUAAGUAACGAUAAAGCGGGUGAAAAGCCCGCUCGCCGGAAGACCAAGGGUUCCUGUCCAACGUUAAUCGGGGCAGGGUGAGUCGACCCCUAAGGCGAGGCCGAAAGGCGUAGUCGAUGGGAAACGGGUUAAUAUUCCCGUACUUGGUGUUACUGCGAAGGGGGGACGGAGAAGGCUAUGUUGGCCGGGCGACGGUUGUCCCGGUUUAAGCGUGUAGGUGUGUGUUCCAGGUAAAUCCGGUUCACUUUAACACUGAGGCGUGACGACGAGGCACUACGGUGCUGAAGCAACAAAUGCCCUGCUUCCAGGAAAAGCCUCUAAGCAUCAGGUAACACGAAAUCGUACCCCAAACCGACACAGGUGGUCAGGUAGAGAAUACCAAGGCGCUUGAGAGAACUCGGGUGAAGGAACUAGGCAAAAUGGUGCCGUAACUUCGGGAGAAGGCACGCUGACACGUAGGUGAAGUGAUUUACUCAUGGAGCUGAAGUCAGUCGAAGAUACCAGCUGGCUGCAACUGUUUAUUAAAAACACAGCACUGUGCAAACACGAAAGUGGACGUAUACGGUGUGACGCCUGCCCGGUGCCGGAAGGUUAAUUGAUGGGGUCAGCGUAAGCGAAGCUCCUGAUCGAAGCCCCGGUAAACGGCGGCCGUAACUAUAACGGUCCUAAGGUAGCGAAAUUCCUUGUCGGGUAAGUUCCGACCUGCACGAAUGGCGUAAUGAUGGCCAGGCUGUCUCCACCCGAGACUCAGUGAAAUUGAACUCGCUGUGAAGAUGCAGUGUACCCGCGGCAAGACGGAAAGACCCCGUGAACCUUUACUAUAGCUUGACACUGAACAUUGAGCCUUGAUGUGUAGGAUAGGUGGGAGGCUUUGAAGUGUGGACGCCAGUCUGCAUGGAGCCGACCUUGAAAUACCACCCUUUAAUGUUUGAUGUUCUAACGUGGACCCGUAAUCCGGGUUGCGGACAGUGUCUGGUGGGUAGUUUGACUGGGGCGGUCUCCUCCUAAAGAGUAACGGAGGAGCACGAAGGUUGGCUAAUCCUGGUCGGACAUCAGGAGGUUAGUGCAAUGGCAUAAGCCAGCUUGACUGCGAGCGUGACGGCGCGAGCAGGUGCGAAAGCAGGUCAUAGUGAUCCGGUGGUUCUGAAUGGAAGGGCCAUCGCUCAACGGAUAAAAGGUACUCCGGGGAUAACAGGCUGAUACCGCCCAAGAGUUCAUAUCGACGGCGGUGUUUGGCACCUCGAUGUCGGCUCAUCACAUCCUGGGGCUGAAGUAGGUCCCAAGGGUAUGGCUGUUCGCCAUUUAAAGUGGUACGCGAGCUGGGUUUAGAACGUCGUGAGACAGUUCGGUCCCUAUCUGCCGUGGGCGCUGGAGAACUGAGGGGGGCUGCUCCUAGUACGAGAGGACCGGAGUGGACGCAUCACUGGUGUUCGGGUUGUCAUGCCAAUGGCACUGCCCGGUAGCUAAAUGCGGAAGAGAUAAGUGCUGAAAGCAUCUAAGCACGAAACUUGCCCCGAGAUGAGUUCUCCCUGAGACUUAGAGUCUCCUGAAGGAACGUUGAAGACGACGACGUUGAUAGGCCGGGUGUGUAAGCGCAGCGAUGCGUUGAGCUAACCGGUACUAAUGAACCGUGAGGCUUAACCUU
Molecule: ribosomal RNA, 2990 nt
Filed under: Salmonella enterica
Lineage: Bacteria; Pseudomonadati; Pseudomonadota; Gammaproteobacteria; Enterobacterales; Enterobacteriaceae
Also listed under: 1 other name
Description: 23S ribosomal RNA
Rfam family: Bacterial large subunit ribosomal RNA
Source: RNAcentral